This is a non-coding RNA of Elaeis guineensis (African oil palm), 286 nucleotides long. The record is from RefSeq and is a predicted model, not a curated record. Lineage: Eukaryota; Viridiplantae; Streptophyta; Magnoliopsida; Arecales; Arecaceae.
GUAUGCUGCCCGACACAGGCGCAUCCGACCCGUGCUCCACGAGGCGAAUCAUUCCUGACAGCAUCCACCGGCUCAAAGAUGCAUGCCGCGUCAGCAACGAGGGUAAUUCCGUCUUAUGGGAAAUCGAGCAGUCAGGGUAUUUUGGUAAUUGUACAUAGGAGGCGAGAAGGACCGAUGGAGAGAGCGAGAAAGAUCAGAGCGCUUUGACAACAGGGAGGAAAGAAGCUGCGAGUGGAAAGAGAGAGAGGGAGAGAGAAAACAAAAAACCAAGAAAAAAAAAAAAAAA